Molecule: ribosomal RNA, 500 nt
Filed under: Acinetobacter sp. WR1421
Lineage: Bacteria; Pseudomonadati; Pseudomonadota; Gammaproteobacteria; Moraxellales; Moraxellaceae
Description: bacterial SSU rRNA
Rfam family: Bacterial small subunit ribosomal RNA
Source: RNAcentral
GGACAAUGGGCGCAAGCCUGAUCCAGCCAUGCCGCGUGUGUGAAGAAGGCCUUAUGGUUGUAAAGCACUUUAAGCGAGGAGGAGGCUACUGAAGUUAAUACCUUCAGAUAGUGGACGUUACUCGCAGAAUAAGCACCGGCUAACUCUGUGCCAGCAGCCGCGGUAAUACAGAGGGUGCAAGCGUUAAUCGGAUUUACUGGGCGUAAAGCGCGCGUAGGCGGCUAAUUAAGUCAAAUGUGAAAUCCCCGAGCUUAACUUGGGAAUUGCAUUCGAUACUGGUUAGCUAGAGUGUGGGAGAGGAUGGUAGAAUUCCAGGUGUAGCGGUGAAAUGCGUAGAGAUCUGGAGGAAUACCGAUGGCGAAGGCAGCCAUCUGGCCUAACACUGACGCUGAGGUGCGAAAGCAUGGGGAGCAAACAGGAUUAGAUACCCUGGUAGUCCAUGCCGUAAACGAUGUCUACUAGCCGUUGGGGCCUUUGAGGCUUUAGUGGCGCAGCUAACG